UAAGGGUUUCCAAAAACAUCCUCCAAGGUAUGAAGGUAAAUUGAUUUCUACUUCCAAUCCCAAGGGGUUUCAAUGCUUCAAGUGUCAAGGGUGGGGGCAGAAGGCUAGUGAGUGACCAAACCGGCGGAAUAUGAUCCUAAGGGGGUAGACUGUACUAUCUUGGAGAAGAGGUGGGCAUUGAAUAGGUUAAGAAUGAUAACAAACCGCAAGAUGGAGAGCAAAAAGAAAAGUGCAAAAUGAAGAGUAUAGAGAAGAUGUGUGGCCGGAAGAAGGAGAUUGUGAAGUGCCUUUGUAAAAGAGGUGAGCCCGUGAAUUUGAGGUCAAAUUCCUCUCAAGAUGGAUAGGAUGAUACAAGUAUGAUCAUGAUCAUGAUCAUGACACUUUUGAGUAUUUUUGAAGACUAGUCACUAAAGG
RNAcentral lists this long non-coding RNA (414 nucleotides) under Capsicum annuum. RNAcentral's name for it is "long non-coding RNA (CANN_LNC010705)". Lineage: Eukaryota; Viridiplantae; Streptophyta; Magnoliopsida; Solanales; Solanaceae. The record is from RNAcentral.